GCUUUUUUUCAGAUCGGAAAACAAAUCGCUCCGAGUGCCAUCCCGUCGGCGAUUUGCAUUUUAGCCGACAAGAAGGCAGGGGAUGCAGAUUUUCUUUGUGGAUUUUCUCCUUAGUUUCACAGGAAAAAUUUGCACGUGGCGAAAUGAAUAAAUAAAUACAUUUGCUCAUCACUACUUGGCAGUAAUGGAUAUACUGUACAUGUUUAUGGGUUUUCUUGGCAAGUAAAGGAAGGCAUCUCCUUUGUGAAAGAGCUAGUUCAACUGCAGCUAUUUCAGUUAAUUCUUGUAUUACCUUUGGAUCUUUAAGAGAGAAUCCUGACAUGCAGUCAUUGACAAGAUUAAAGACAAAUCUCUGUCCACGAAGGCAUUGUUCAGCAGAAUAGCGUACAUCUUGGUUCCAGACCAACAAGAUUGACGUUAUGGAGUCGCCAGCCAAAUCCCUGGACCUUA
This is a long non-coding RNA of Xenopus laevis (African clawed frog), 450 nucleotides long. RefSeq lists it as uncharacterized. Lineage: Eukaryota; Metazoa; Chordata; Amphibia; Anura; Pipidae. The transcript has 3 exons. The record is from RefSeq and is a predicted model, not a curated record.